AUGGAAAAUAAUGUUACUGAAUUUAUCUUCAUGGGUCUUUCCCAAAAUGAGAAGGUACAGCAACUAUGCUUCUUUUUGUUCUUACUCUUUUAUAUGAUACUCAUGACGGGAAAUUUUCUCAUUAUAAUGACAAUUCAAAGGAGUCCAAAUCUCAAGUCUUCAAUGUACUUCUUCCUUAGCUUCCUAUCCUUUGUGGACAUCUGCUAUUCCUCUGUUACAGCCCCCAAGCUGAUUAUUGAUUCCCAAGCCAAAGUCAAGAGCAUCUCUUUUGUUGGUUGUAUGGUGGAGCUCUUUUUCUCCCAUCUCUUUGGCUGCACAGAGAUCUUUAUUCCCACAGUGAUGGCCUAUGACAGGUAUGUGGCUAUCUGUAAGCCUCUAUGCUAUAUGACUAUCAUGGACCAGAAGGUCUGCUCCAUACUGGUGGUAAUCUGUUGGUUAGAAGGAUUUGUGCAUUCCUUUAUCUAGACCAUCCUCACUGUACGACUGCCUUUCUGUGGCCCCAACCUGAUUGACCACUAUUUCUGUGAUGUCCACCCUUUACUGAAGCUGGCUUGCACAGACACAUAUGUGGUGGGGGUCAUUGUGAUAGCCAACAGUGGCAUGAUUUCCCUGAGCUGCUUGGUCAUUCUUGUGGGCUCUUACAUUGUCAUCUUGCUUUCCUUUAAGACCCGUUCAUCAGAGGGGAGGCGCAAGGCCCUGUCCACAUGUGCUUCCCACAUCAUAGUGGUGAUCUUGUUUUUUGUCCCCUGCCUCUUCAUCUACCUAAGGCCUUCCACCACUUUUACUGAGGACAAGAUAGUGGCUGUGUUCUAUACCACCAUCACACCCAUGUUAAACCCUCUGAUCUACACCCUGAGAAACAUGGAGGUGAAAAAUGCCAUGAAGAGACUGUGGAUUGAGAGAUUGUUGGACAGAAAUAAGAGAGACUCUGGUGUGAAGCUGAGUGGGAUUGGUAUAGCCUCAGUUGUACCAGUUUCCACAAGGGUUGCUGGGAACAAGUCAAUCAUCAUCCCUUAA
Molecule: RNA transcript, 1017 nt
Organism: Odobenus rosmarus divergens (Pacific walrus)
Lineage: Eukaryota; Metazoa; Chordata; Mammalia; Carnivora; Odobenidae
Gene name: olfactory receptor 4S2-like
Exons: 1
Source: RefSeq, a predicted model, not a curated record